CCUACGGGGGGCAGCAGUGAGGAAUAUUGGUCAAUGGACGAGAGUCUGAACCAGCCAAGUAGCGUGAAGGAUGACUGCCCUAUGGGUUGUAAACUUCUUUUAUAUGGGAAUAAAACGUUCCACGUGUGGGAUUUUGUAUGUACCAUAUGAAUAAGGAUCGGCUAACUCCGUGCCAGCAGCCGCGGUAAUACGGAGGAUCCGAGCGUUAUCCGGAUUUAUUGGGUUUAAAGGGAGCGUAGGUGGAUUGUUAAGUCAGUUGUGAAAGUUUGCGGCACAACCGGGAAAUUGCAGUUGAAACUGGCAGUCUUGAGUACAGUAGAGGUGGGCGGAAUUCGUGGUGUAGCGGUGAAAUGCUUAGAUAUCACGAAGAACUCCGAUUGCGAAGGCAGUUCACUGGACUGCAACUGACACUGAGGCUCGAAAGUGUGGGUAUCAAACAGGAUUAGAUACCCCUGUAGUC
Molecule: ribosomal RNA, 460 nt
Filed under: uncultured bacterium
Lineage: Bacteria
Description: partial 16S ribosomal RNA
Rfam family: Bacterial small subunit ribosomal RNA
Source: RNAcentral